Molecule: ribosomal RNA, 496 nt
Filed under: uncultured bacterium
Lineage: Bacteria
Description: partial 16S ribosomal RNA
Rfam family: Bacterial small subunit ribosomal RNA
Source: RNAcentral
GACGAACGCUGGCGGCGUGCCUAAUACAUGCAAGUAGAACGCUGAAGCGAGGAGCUUGCUCUUCUUGGAUGAGUUGCGAACGGGUGAGUAACGCGUAGGUAACCUGCCUUGUAGCGGGGGAUAACUAUUGGAAACGAUAGCUAAUACCGCAUAACAAUGGAUGACACAUGUCAUUUAUUUGAGAGGGGCAAUUGCUCCACUACAAGAUGGACCUGCGUUGUAUUAGCUAGUAGGUGAGGUAAUGGCUCACCUAGGCGACGAUACAUAGCCGACCUGAGAGGGUGAUCGGCCACACUGGGACUGAGACACGGCCCAGACUCCUACGGGAGGCAGCAGUAGGGAAUCUUCGGCAAUGGGGGCAACCCUGACCGAGCAACGCCGCGUGAGUGAAGAAGGUUUUCGGAUCGUAAAGCUCUGUUGUAAGUCAAGAACGGGUGUGAGAGUGGAAAGUUCACACUGUGACGGUAGCUUACCAGAAAGGGACGGCUAACUACGU